GUUGCUUUAUGAUGACCUUGAUAAACCUUCAUCUCUUUGCCAGUUGACAUGGACCAGAGUCUUGCAGUGGUAUCGGAAGAAGCUGUUAUAAGAUAGGCACCAUCUACUGAGAAGACGCAGUCCCACACCCAGCGUUGGUGUCCUAUAAGUGUCUUUUCUAACGUGAAACCGUCCACAUUCCAGAUUUUGACAGUGCUGUCAGAAGAUGCAGUGGCAAGGUAUCGGUGGGGUUCACAGAAUUCAGGUGAAAGAAGACACUUGAGAAUGUAUCCCUUGUGUGCUUGAAGUUUAUGAAGUGGCUCAAAGUUUGUCAUCGUCUGAAAGAGAAAAAUGAAUUACACUAUUUGAAUUGUACAGCAGAACAAUAAUUAG
RNAcentral lists this unclassified non-coding RNA (372 nucleotides) under Hevea brasiliensis (rubber tree). Lineage: Eukaryota; Viridiplantae; Streptophyta; Magnoliopsida; Malpighiales; Euphorbiaceae. The record is from RNAcentral.